CUCAUCUUCUUUCAUCUCAAUCUCUUCUGGCCGUCCGCGGUGCCGUAAAAUUAAAAGACCUCCGUCUGAUCCGUCUUACUCUGCGAGAUCUAGUUCUGCAGGUUUUAUACCUAACACCACUUGUCUUCCCCAAAACACCGAAGGAAAUCUUUCUAGUGGCGCCCCUAGCAGAUCUGCAGACAUGGUGGACGAGAUCCAAAAUUUCAGGUCUGCUAUCGAUGCAUGCAUUGAUCAUGAUGUGCCUCCGGUGGACCAGAUCGAACAUCUAAGAUACGAUGGACGAGAUCCAAAAUCUAAGUAUAAACUUGUCCUAACUACAAGUCUGCUGUCAACGCAUGCAUUGAUCAUGAUGUGCCUCCGGUGGACCAGACGAACAUCUAAAGUUUUUGUCUGCCAACAUUCUGUCUUUCUUUUCAUUUUGUUGACCAUAUCAUUUUGUGUCAAUUGCUAACAAAACAACUUGUCUACAUUGCAGGUCUGCAAAUACGGUGGACAUGAUCCAAAAUCCAAGAUUUUUGUCUACCCAGAUUAUUUCCCUAGGUUUCUUAAGUAGUCAAUAUCCCUUUGGCUUUACAUUUUGUUGUCCUUUACAAUCAAUAUAAUCUUGUCCACACUGUAGGUUUAUAGUUUAGGUGGACCAGAUCCAACAGGUAUGUCUUUACGGACAAGUUUAUCUUUGUUUAGUCCACUACAUUUCUGGUCCAUCGUACAAUUACUUUUUGUCUAUCCAUCUAUUUAGUCUAUUAAGUUCCCAAUUUUUGUUUUAAAACUAUAAGUCCAUCAAACUCACAUAUGUUUUGUCCAUCGCACAGGUUUGAAGACAUUCAACCUGACACUGGUGAACUCGCCGAGGACAACAAUGUUACUGCACAAAGAAGUCCAUCGAACUCACAUGUGUGUUGUCCAUCGCACAUGUCCGAAUCUGUUCAGCUUGACAUUGGUGAACUAGUGGAGGACAACAAACAAG
Camelina sativa (false flax) is the source of this 967-nucleotide non-coding RNA. NCBI's taxonomy places the organism in Eukaryota, Viridiplantae, Streptophyta, Magnoliopsida, Brassicales, Brassicaceae. The record is from RefSeq and is a predicted model, not a curated record.